RNAcentral lists this transfer RNA (76 nucleotides) under Patescibacteria group bacterium. RNAcentral describes it as "tRNA-Met". It matches the Rfam family "tRNA". Rfam says of the family: Transfer RNA (tRNA) molecules are approximately 80 nucleotides in length. Their secondary structure includes four short double-helical elements and three loops (D, anti-codon, and T loops). Further hydrogen bonds mediate the characteristic L-shaped molecular structure. tRNAs have two regions of fundamental functional importance: the anti-codon, which is responsible for specific mRNA codon recognition, and the 3' end, to which the tRNAs corresponding amino acid is attached (by aminoacyl-tRNA synthetases). tRNAs cope with the degeneracy of the genetic code in two manners: having more than one tRNA (with a specific anti-codon) for a particular amino acid; and 'wobble' base-pairing, i.e. permitting non-standard base-pairing at the 3rd anti-codon position. The record is from RNAcentral.
CGCGGGGUGGAGCAGUUGGCAGCUCGCGAGGCCCAUAACCUCGAGGUCGCCGGUUCGAGUCCGGCCCCCGCAACCA